UACAGAGGUGGCAAGCGUUGUUCGGAAUUACUGGGCGUAAAGGGCGCGUAGGCGGCCUGCUAAGUCGAACGUGAAAUCCCUGGGCUCAACCCAGGAACUGCGUCCGAUACUGGUUGGCUUGAAUCCGGGAGAGGGAUGUGGAAUUCCAGGUGUAGCGGUGAAAUGCGUAGAUAUCUGGAGGAACACCGGUGGCGAAGGCGACAUCCUGGACCGGUAUUGACGCUGAGGCGCGAAAGCCAGGGGAGCAAACGGG
RNAcentral lists this ribosomal RNA (253 nucleotides) under uncultured bacterium. Its description in RNAcentral is "partial 16S ribosomal RNA". It matches the Rfam family "Bacterial small subunit ribosomal RNA", at positions 524 to 776 of the family's 1533-position model. The record is from RNAcentral.